Molecule: non-coding RNA, 78 nt
Organism: Megalops atlanticus (tarpon)
Lineage: Eukaryota; Metazoa; Chordata; Actinopteri; Elopiformes; Megalopidae
Source: the annotation of a GenBank genome assembly
AGCAGUGUGGUGUAGUGGUAAGAAGCUGGGCUAGUAACCUAAAGGUUGCAGGUUCAAUUCCUUGCUGGGGCACUGCUG